GGGAGUCUCCGGGAGGAGAGAGUCCACGCCGCGCGGCGCCGAGCAGCAGCCCCGAAACUGAGUGCGGCGGCGGCAGGACCGGCGGGACCGCCACGACUCACCAGGUGCAAUUAAGAACAUUCAUGAUUCAUGAGAGGUCAAAAUAUUGACAUUACCUGGAGUUUGAAAGAAGUUGAUUCCAACCCUCAUAGGUGCCUUUGAGGGUCUCAAGACUUCAGUGGAGGAAGUCACUGCAGACAUGGUGGAAACAGCAAGAGAACUAGAAUCAGAAGUGGAACCUGAAAGUGGGGCUGAAUUGCUGCAAUCUCAUGAUCAAACUUGAAUGAAUAAGGAAUUGCCUCUUAUGGAGGAGCAAAGAAAGUUGUUCAUUGAAAUGGAAUCUCCUUCUGGUGAAGAGCUGUGAACACUGUUAAAAUGACAAUGAAGGAUUUAGAAUACUAUGUCAACUUAGCUUAUAAAGAAGUGGCAGGGCUUGAGAGGAUUUACUCCAAUUUUGGAAGAAGUUCUAAUAUUGGUAAAGUGCUAUCAACAGGGAUCUCAUGUUACAAAGAAAUCUUUCAUAAAAGGAAGAGAGAGUCCAUCGAUGCCUCAAAUUCCAUUGUUGUCUUACUUUAAGAAAUUGCCUCACAGCCAACCAACCUUCAGCAACAAUUACCACCAUCAACACUGUGCUCAAGGGCCACCAAAAUGAGGGGGGCUGGUGAUGUCUGUGGUGCCCCUGUCCAUUCACGCCCAAAACAGAAGAUACUGAGAGUUGUUCACCUAACGUUUUCCUUUUCGUCAUGGACGCACAAGUGGAUUGCAUUUCCCAGCCUCUCUCACAGCUUUAACAUUGUUAUGACUACAAGAAGUGGCAUGUGGCCGUGAAAUGGAAGUGGAAGUUGAAAUUAUACUCACACAACAUUUUCCCUAUGUUUGGGCCUCUUCUGACAGAGCAAAAAUGACUUCCCCCACUGCCUCUCACGCUCACGGGUUAAGCCCCCUCUCUAUAGGAGCCGCCGCUCUUUCUCCCAUCUGCUUCUGCUGCGUGGAGGGAGGUGGCAGGACGCUGACAUGAUGCUGACACGAUGCUGUUGCCCUGCUGCCUUGGGCCCCGUUGAGGGAUCCAGGCUCCGGAUGAGGAGUGAGAGCUCAUGAGAUUUCAUUUGUAAAGUCGAACGGCUAAGUUUCUGACAGAUAAGGCCCUCAGCCAGUUACAAGGCAUGGUUGUGAAAGUGAAUUAUCUAGGGAAAAAAUGAGCCGCUCUGACUCUCCCGUGCCUUCAUCCAGUCAAAAGUUAAAUUAUCGCCCAAAUUUCCCCUCUGUACCUCUACUUAGCGGUACAAGUGUAAGCUGUACAUAAAACUCCAGUUAACUCUCACUGGGCAGGAGUGGCUCCAUUUCCCUUGCAUUCAGAGGUCACAUGGCUGCUGAAACCCUUAGGGGACGUUCACUCCCACUGAGAUGAAAUUUUAAGUCUUAACCCUGGUCUCUGACCUCGUAUCCUCUCCGUCUCCUUCUGGCCCUUGCUGCUCCAGUCACUCUUGUCUGGGAUUCCUCGGGUAUGUGAAGUAUUUUCCACUGUCUGAGCCUUUGCAUAUCUGUUCCUGUGACCUUCCUCCCAGAGAGCCAUGGAGCUCCAUUCUUCAUCAACUUCCUCCUCAUAAAGGCCUUCCUUGAUUGCCGUGACUAAAACAGCAUCACCGAUCCCUUUCUAAAACUGUGCCCUGCCAACAUACAGUUACACAGAAGGAAUAAAUUCAAUGUUUGAUAGCAGAAUAGGGUGACUAUAGUUAAACAAAAAUGUAUCGCACCCAGGAGAUGGACACCCUACUUUGAUCACUAUGCAUUAUAUACAUGUAACAAAAUUUCACAUGUACCCCAUAAAUUUGCACAAAUAAUAAAAAAUAAAUGUGU
Molecule: long non-coding RNA, 1896 nt
Filed under: Macaca mulatta (Rhesus monkey)
Lineage: Eukaryota; Metazoa; Chordata; Mammalia; Primates; Cercopithecidae
Description: lncRNA (ENSMMUG00000058000.1)
Source: RNAcentral